This 466-nucleotide ribosomal RNA is filed under the name uncultured bacterium. Its description in RNAcentral is "partial 16S ribosomal RNA". It matches the Rfam family "Bacterial small subunit ribosomal RNA", at positions 28 to 507 of the family's 1533-position model. The record is from RNAcentral.
GAUGAACGCUGGCGGCGUGCUUAAUACAUGCAAGUCGAACGGAAAGGCUCCUGCUUGCAGGGGUACUCGAGAGGCGAACGGGUGAGUAACACGUGGGGGAACUGCCCUGCACAUAGGGAUAAGCCUGGGAAACUGGGUAUAAUAUCGGAUAGGACGAUGGUUUGGAUGUCAUUGUGGAAAGAUUUUUCGGUGUGGGAUGAGCUAUCGGUCUAUCAGCUAGUUGGUGGGGUAAUGGCCAACCAAGGCGUCGCCGGGUAGCCGGCCUGGGAGGGUGUACGGCCACAUUGGGACUGCGAUACGGCCCAGACUGCUACGUGAGGCAGCAGUGGAGAAUAUUGCACAAUGGGCGCAAGCCUGAUGCAGCGACGCCGCGUGGGGGAUAACGUCCUUCGGGUUGUAAACACCUUUCGCUGGGGACGAAGCGCAAGUGACGGUACCUGGAGAAGAAGCACCGGCUAACUACGUG